Molecule: ribosomal RNA, 655 nt
Filed under: Vibrio sp. OPT41
Lineage: Bacteria; Pseudomonadati; Pseudomonadota; Gammaproteobacteria; Vibrionales; Vibrionaceae
Also listed under: 1 other name
Description: bacterial SSU rRNA
Rfam family: Bacterial small subunit ribosomal RNA
Source: RNAcentral
UUUGACGUUAGCGACAGAAGAAGCACCGGCUAACUCCGUGCCAGCAGCCGCGGUAAUACGGAGGGUGCGAGCGUUAAUCGGAAUUACUGGGCGUAAAGCGCAUGCAGGUGGUUUGUUAAGUCAGAUGUGAAAGCCCGGGGCUCAACCUCGGAAUAGCAUUUGAAACUGGCAGACUAGAGUACUGUAGAGGGGGGUAGAAUUUCAGGUGUAGCGGUGAAAUGCGUAGAGAUCUGAAGGAAUACCGGUGGCGAAGGCGGCCCCCUGGACAGAUACUGACACUCAGAUGCGAAAGCGUGGGGAGCAAACAGGAUUAGAUACCCUGGUAGUCCACGCCGUAAACGAUGUCUACUUGGAGGUUGUGGCCUUGAGCCGUGGCUUUCGGAGCUAACGCGUUAAGUAGACCGCCUGGGGAGUACGGUCGCAAGAUUAAAACUCAAAUGAAUUGACGGGGGCCCGCACAAGCGGUGGAGCAUGUGGUUUAAUUCGAUGCAACGCGAAGAACCUUACCUACUCUUGACAUCCAGAGAACUUUCCAGAGAUGGAUUGGUGCCUUCGGGAACUCUGAGACAGGUGCUGCAUGGCUGUCGUCAGCUCGUGUUGUGAAAUGUUGGGUUAAGUCCCGCAACGAGCGCAACCCUUAUCCUUGUUUGCCAGC